RNAcentral lists this ribosomal RNA (463 nucleotides) under uncultured bacterium. RNAcentral's name for it is "partial 16S ribosomal RNA". It matches the Rfam family "Bacterial small subunit ribosomal RNA", at positions 30 to 507 of the family's 1533-position model. The record is from RNAcentral.
CGACCGCUGGCGGCGUGCUUAACACAUGCACGUCGAACGGAAAGGCCCUGCUUGCAGGGUACUCGAGUGGCGAACGGGUGAGUAACACGUGGGUGAUCUGCCCUGCACUUCGGGAUAAGCCUGGGAAACUGGGUCUAAUACCGGAUAGGAGCCAUUUUUAGUGUGAUGGUUGGAAAGUUUUUUCGGUGUAGGAUGAGCUCGCGGCCUAUCAGCUUGUUGGUGGGGUAAUGGCCUACCAAGGCGGCGACGGGUAGCCGGCCUGAGAGGGUGGACGGCCACAUUGGGACUGAGAUACGGCCCAGACUCCUACGGGAGGCAGCAGGGGGGAAUAUUGCACAAUGGGCGCAAGCCUGAUGCAGCGACGCCGCGUGGGGGAGGACGGCCUUCGGGUUGUAAACUCCUUUCGCUAGGGACGAAGCUUUUUGUGACGGUACCUAGAGAAGAAGCACCGGCUAACUACGUG